RNAcentral lists this ribosomal RNA (2311 nucleotides) under Halolamina salifodinae. Its description in RNAcentral is "Archaeal large subunit ribosomal RNA". It matches the Rfam family "Archaeal large subunit ribosomal RNA", at positions 628 to 2987 of the family's 2987-position model. The record is from Rfam by way of RNAcentral. Lineage: Archaea; Methanobacteriati; Methanobacteriota; Halobacteria; Halobacteriales; Haloferacaceae.
GGAGCCGAAGUUCCGUCGUACGUUUUGAAAAACGAACUAGGGAGUGUAUCUCUUUGGCGAGUCUAACUAGUGAACCUAGGAAGGCGCAGGGAAACCGAUAGGGGCGCAGCAUUGCCAGGCCCACCGUGUUCAAGCGCGGGGAGUCGAAGGGAUACGACCCGGAACCGAGCGAUCUACUCUGGAGCAGGGUGAAGCGUGGCGAAAGCCACGUGGAGGCCCGUUAGGGUUGGUGUCCUACAAUACCCUCCCGUGACUCGAGAGUAGGGGUGAAAGGCCCAUCGAGCUCGGCAACAGCUGGUUCCAACCGAAACAUGUCGAAGCAUGACCUCUUCCGAGGUAGUUUGCGCGGUAGAGCGACCGAUUGAGAGACCCGCCUCCGAGAGGAGUCGGCCUUUCUGUCGAACUCCGAACGUGCAAACGCCGUGGACGAAGGGAGUCCGGUGCCCGGGGUAAGCUUGGGUACCAUGAGGGAAACAACCCAGAGCUGGGUUAAGGUCCCAAAGUGUAGAUUAAGUGCGAUUCGAAGGUGGUCUCGAGCCCUAAACAGCCGGGAGGUGAGCUUAGAAGCAGCUACCCUCUAAGAAAAGCGUAACAGCUUACCGGCCGAGGUUCGAGGCGCCGAAAAUGAUCGGGGCUCAAAUCUACCACCGAGACCUAGCGGUGCUGUGUACAACAGCAAUUCUGUAGGUUGGCAUUCUGGACGGGUGGAAGCACGGGUGAGAACUCGCGUGGACCGUCUAGUAACGAAAAUCCUAGUCAUAGUAGCAGCGAAAGUCGGGUGUGAACCCCGACGGCCAGAAGAGUAAGGGUUCCUUGGCACUGUCAAUCAGCCAAGGGUUAGUCGAUCCUAAGGCUCCUCGUAACUCGCAGGAGUCGAAAGGGUAGCUGGUUAAUAUUCCAGCACUACCGUACAUUGAAACCGACACUUCCGGAACCAUCGUGCUGGGCUUUCGCCCAGUCGAAUCGAGGAAGCUCGUGGACGCCGUAACGGCACGAAGCGAACGAAUCUCGAGAUAGCGUGAGACGAUGUUACCAGGAGUCCGUGAAAAGGGAGUACGGUAUCCGUACCGAGAUCCGACACAGGUACUCUGCCAGAGCAAGGCGCGGCCUGUCGGGAGAACCGACGUUAGGGAAUUCGGCAAGUUAGUUCCGUACGUUCGCAAUAAGGAAUGCCUGCCCCUCGCGGGGCAGGUCGCAGUGUCUUGGGCGCUCCGACUGUCUAGUAACAACACAGGUGACCGCAAAUCCGCAAGGACUCGUACGGUCACUGAAUCCUGCCCAGUGCGGGUAUCUGAACACCUCGUACAAGAGGACGAAGGACCCGUCAACGGCGGGGGUAACUAUGACCCUCUUAAGGUAGCGUAGUACCUUGCCGCUUCAGUAGCGGCUUGCAUGAAUGGAUCAACGAGAGCGCCACUGUCCCAACGUUGGACCCGGUGAACUGUACGUUCCAGUGCGGAGUCUGGAGACCCCCAAGGGGAAGCGAAGACCCUAUAGAGCUUUACUGCAGGCUGUCGCUGAGACGUGGUCGCUAAUGUGCAGAGUAGGUAGGAGCCGUUACACAGGUACCCGCGCUAGCGGGCCACCGAGGCAUUCAUGAAACACUACCCGUUAGUGACUGCGACUCUCACUCCUGGCGGAGGACACCGGUAGCCGGGCAGUUUGACUGGGGCGGUACGCGCUCGAAAAGAUAUCGAGCGCGCCCCAAGAUUUCCUCACUCGGGUCGGGAACCCGAGGAAGAGCGCAAGAGCAAACGGAAGUCUGACAGUGUCAUUCCCAACGAGUGACGCUGACGCGAAAGCGUGGUUUAGCGAACCAACCAUGGUCCUUGAUGGGCCAGGUUGCUGACAGAAAAGCUACCUUAGGGAUAACAGAGUCGUCACGCGCAAGAGCACAUAUCGACCGCGUGGCUUGCUACCUCGAUGUCGGUUCCCUCCAUCCUGCCCGUGCAGAAGCGGGCAAGGGUGAGGUUGUUCGCCUAUUAAAGGAGGUCGUGAGCUGGGUUUAGACCGUCGUGAGACAGGUCGGCUGCUAUCUAUUGGGGGUGUUAUGGUACUUGACGAGAACGAUCGUAUAGUACGAGAGGAACUACGAUUGGAUGCCACUGGUGUACCGGUUGUUCGAGAGAGCAUUGCCGGGCAGCCACGCAUCACAGGGUAAGAGCUGAACGCAUCUAAGCUCGAAACCUACUCGAAAAAGAAGUACCGUUGAGGUCACUCGUAGAAGAGGAGUUAGAUAGACUCGGGAUGUACGCGCCAAGGCAACGAGGCGUUGAGUCCGCGAGCACUAACAGACCGAAGCCAUCAUUCA